This 402-nucleotide ribosomal RNA is filed under the name uncultured prokaryote. RNAcentral's name for it is "bacterial SSU rRNA". It matches the Rfam family "Bacterial small subunit ribosomal RNA", at positions 355 to 774 of the family's 1533-position model. The record is from RNAcentral.
UGGGGAAUAUUGGACAAUGGGCGCAAGCCUGAUCCAGCCAUGCCGCGUGAGUGACGAAGGCCUUAGGGUUGUAAAGCUCUUUUGGCGGGGAAGAUAAUGACGGUACCCGCAGAAUAAGCUCCGGCUAACUUCGUGCCAGCAGCCGCGGUAAUACGAAGGGAGCUAGCGUUGUUCGGAAUCACUGGGCGUAAAGCGCACGUAGGCGGAUGUGCCAGUCAGGGGUGAAAUCCCGGAGCUCAACUUCGGAACUGCCCUUGAGACAGCACGUCUUGAGUCCGAGAGAGGUGAGUGGAAUUCCUAGUGUAGAGGUGAAAUUCGUAGAUAUUAGGAAGAACACCGGUGGCGAAGGCGGCUCACUGGCUCGGUACUGACGCUGAGGUGCGAAAGCGUGGGGAGCAAACA